UUAAGUGAGUACCCCCACCUUCCAUGUACACUAACUCAGACAGAAGAACUGCAUUUCCUCCCAGUUGCUGUCUGUGGGAGCAGCUCCUGCUUUGGUUAGCUCAGGCCUGGGCAGUAGUUGGCCUGAAACAGAUACUCAACAAUCCUGGGAGAGGUCAAGGCAAAGCUGGACUCCCUCACGUGAAACCUGUCUCCACUCUCAGCUCCCAAGGAAAUUGCAGGAGCUUCUGAAAAGGAAGCUAGCUUUAAUCAUCCAAGGACACACUGCAGAAAUGAAGGAACUGGGGCCUCGUGUGAUUGGCUGUGAUUGGCUACUACAAAUGCACCCCUACUCAUGGGCUGACAGCAGUCUGCAAAUGAACUUUAUACACAGAUCACUCUGUUGCUAGAAGACCUUGACCCUCGCUCUUCAUUCCCAGCUCCGUAGGUCAUUUCAUCUCGGCUAGCACGUCUCACCUCUAACAGUGGCAUGGCCCAGAAUGUUGUGACCUUAGGUAGACCAUGAGGCUUGGCCACAGGAUCAGGACAAGAUAGAAUGACACAGCUCACCUGCCUGCAGCCAGGGCCUAUGGGGUCAGUUACCUAAGAUGAAGGGAACUGAUCAUUUGGAAUCUGUGUUCCCACAGUGCUAAUAACAUUGCAGCCUCACAUGCAGUUUGUUUUUUUUUCAAGACAGGGUUUCUCUGUGCAGU
Microtus ochrogaster (prairie vole) is the source of this 691-nucleotide long non-coding RNA. RefSeq lists it as uncharacterized. NCBI's taxonomy places the organism in Eukaryota, Metazoa, Chordata, Mammalia, Rodentia, Cricetidae. The transcript has 3 exons. The record is from RefSeq and is a predicted model, not a curated record.